AGGAUAAUAGUUAAAUAAUAACAUUUAACUUGCAUUUAAAAAUUACUUCAAGUUUAUCUUA
This 61-nucleotide transfer RNA is filed under the name Passalidae sp. GENSP01. RNAcentral's name for it is "tRNA-Ala". The record is from RNAcentral. Lineage: Eukaryota; Metazoa; Arthropoda; Insecta; Coleoptera; Passalidae.